UAUCUUGCGCCCGUGUCUGGUGCCCCGACUCAACCCCGGGGCUGAAAAGGGAACCCGGUGCGAAUCCGGGGCUGCCCCGCAGCGGUAAGCGAGAACGAGCUCCACGAACAGCACUGGCCCUCCGGGCUGGGAAGCAGUGGGGUAUAGGAAGCCGGCGCAAGCCGGAGCGCUCGCAAGCCCGAAGACCUGCCGACACCUGGCUCCGGA
This 207-nucleotide non-coding RNA is filed under the name Minicystis rosea. Lineage: Bacteria; Pseudomonadati; Myxococcota; Polyangiales; Polyangiaceae. The record is from RNAcentral.